RNAcentral lists this transfer RNA (71 nucleotides) under Stegodyphus mimosarum. It matches the Rfam family "tRNA". From Rfam's summary of the family: Transfer RNA (tRNA) molecules are approximately 80 nucleotides in length. Their secondary structure includes four short double-helical elements and three loops (D, anti-codon, and T loops). Lineage: Eukaryota; Metazoa; Arthropoda; Arachnida; Araneae; Eresidae. The record is from Rfam by way of RNAcentral.
GCCUUUGUGAUGUAACGGUAGAACACUUGGCUCGUAUUCGAGAGGUCCAGGUUAGAGUCCCGGCGAAGGUA